Long non-coding RNA from Nicotiana tabacum (common tobacco), 1338 nucleotides. RefSeq lists it as uncharacterized. Lineage: Eukaryota; Viridiplantae; Streptophyta; Magnoliopsida; Solanales; Solanaceae. The record is from RefSeq and is a predicted model, not a curated record.
GGUCAUAUGUAAUUCUCAAAUUUUAUGCCUUUCAUUUCAUUAAACAUCCGGACAAACUAAUUGUAUUGGUUUUAUUGUUUUACUUAUAUAUAAAAAAACAGUCCUAGGCGCUCAGUCUAGUGGAUUUACCAAAAAAAAGACUUAGGGACUAAUUGGCAAAAUACACAAAAUGUAAACCUAGACUCUAGACCUAUAAGACCCUGGAGCUAAAAAAUACACAAAAAAAGAACACCUGGGGAAAGGCUGACAAGCAGCGCCGCAAUAGAGGAUCCCAUACGACCCCCUAUAUUCUCGUCUUCUUCAUCCCCUUCCCAAGUCAAUCUUCAUCUUCACGAAAGAACCUACAAAAUACUCCAACUCCAAAGACUCAAAGCAGCAGCGGCGACGACCCCACCUCACUGGUCUUCUUCUUCGUCCCCACAUCCACCAACGACCACUCUCACGUCGGCCUGAACCAAACAGCCAUCUCCACCUUUCUCCUUCAACCAUAACACACCCAAAGCUCCAAUAACGAACCCACAUCUCUCCGAACCCCUAUCUCUGACCAUACUAGCAACUAGCUGCAAAAGGAAAGAAGAAAAGGAGUUCGAAAAAACAGUAAUGAAAACAGGGGAGCAAGCAGAAACGUCUGAAGUUGUGUUGAGUGGAGGUUUCCGGUGCCGGUUCGAGUUCCAUCCAGAGGUCAUCGGUUGUUGUUCGAGAUUUGAGUUUUCCAGCAGAAUUUGAGGGUGUCGUCGUUAGGGAAGAAAUAAAGAGUUACGUAGAUGCGCAGAAGAGUCAGAAAGAGUCUCAUGAGAAGAUAGCAGCAUCAGUGACUAGACUUGAGACAGCCUACGGCAACUUGGCCAAGGCGCAUGCAAAUCUCCAAUCAGACUUCAAGAAGGAGAAGGAGAGGAACAAUAAGAAGAGCAAGUUUAUGAUAAAAAUGUGGAGAGGAAUAAAGUUCAUCUUCAAAUGGGGAAACCCAAGAAAGAAAAUACCAGUGGGGGACAAAAAUGAUAGCGAGGAGUAUUCCUUCAUGUCAGAAGCUGUUGGUGAUGAUGAUGAUGAUGAGGCUACGAGUUCAGCACAACAUUGAUAAGCCGUCCUCCCACAGUCUGUUAGUCUGAUGCAGACCUCAGGGAGACCCUCAAACUAUUUAUGCUUUAUAUUUGAUAUUGUGCAGUGAGGACACUACAAUGUUUUUAGUUGGGGUGGCUGUAAGAGUAUACUGUAUUCAUGUUAUGAUAUUGUGUGCCCUUGCCGGGCUUAUUUUGUUGAUAUGGAUAUUGUGUACCCUUGGCGGGCUUAUUGUGUUGUUAUGGAUAUUGUGUGCCCUUGUCGGGCCAUUUUGUGUAG